ACAACUUUCAACAACGGAUCUGUUGGUUCUGGCAUCGAUGAAGAACGCAGCGAAAUGCGAUAAGUAGUGUGAAUUGCAGAAUUCAGUGAAUCAUCGAAUCUUUGAACGCACAUUGCGCCCUUUGGUAUUCCAAAGGGCAUGCCUGUUCGAGCGUCAUUUGU
Molecule: ribosomal RNA, 161 nt
Filed under: Alternaria sp. NT-2015a
Lineage: Eukaryota; Fungi; Ascomycota; Dothideomycetes; Pleosporales; Pleosporaceae
Description: 5.8S ribosomal RNA
Rfam family: 5.8S ribosomal RNA
About the family: 5.8S ribosomal RNA (5.8S rRNA) is a component of the large subunit of the eukaryotic ribosome.
Source: RNAcentral